RNAcentral lists this ribosomal RNA (252 nucleotides) under uncultured bacterium. Its description in RNAcentral is "partial 16S ribosomal RNA". It matches the Rfam family "Bacterial small subunit ribosomal RNA", at positions 524 to 776 of the family's 1533-position model. The record is from RNAcentral.
UACGUAGGUCCCGAGCGUUGUCCGGAUUUAUUGGGCGUAAAGCGAGCGCAGGUGGUUUAUUAAGUCUGGUGUAAAAGGCAGUGGCUCAACCAUUGUAUGCAUUGGAAACUGGUAGACUUGAGUGCAGGAGAGGAGAGUGGAAUUCCAUGUGUAGCUGUGAAAUGCGUAGAUAUAUGGAGGAACACCGAUGGCGAAAGCGGCUCUCUGGCCUGUAACUGACACUGAGGCUCGAAAGCGUGGGGAGCAAACAGG